GAUGAACGCUGGCGGCGUGCUUAACACAUGCAAGUCGAACGGAAAGGCCCAAGCUUGCUUGGGUACUCGAGUGGCGAACGGGUGAGUAACACGUGGGUGAUCUGCCCUGCACUUCGGGAUAAGCCUGGGAAACUGGGUCUAAUACCGGAUAGGACCACUUCUUGGAUGUUGUGGUGGAAAGUUUUUUCGGUGUGGGCUGAGCUCGCGGCCUAUCAGCUUGUUGGUGGGGUAAUGGCCUACCAAGGCGUCGACGGGUAGCCGGCCUGGGAGGGUGUACGGCCACAGUGGGACUGAGACACGGCCCAGACUCCUACGGGAGGCAGCAGUGGGGAAUAUUGCACAAUGGGCGCAAGCCUGAUGCAGCGACGCCGCGUGGGGGAGGACGGCCUUCGGGUUGGAAACUCAUUUCGCUAGGGACGAAGCGUUUUGUGACGGUACCUGGAGAAGAAGCACCGGCUAACUACGUG
Molecule: ribosomal RNA, 467 nt
Filed under: uncultured bacterium
Lineage: Bacteria
Description: partial 16S ribosomal RNA
Rfam family: Bacterial small subunit ribosomal RNA
Source: RNAcentral